AGUCGAACGAUGAACCACUUCGGUGGGGAUUAGUGGCGAACGGGUGAGUAACACGUGGGCAAUCUGCCCUGCACUCUGGGACAAGCCCUGGAAACGGGGUCUAAUACCGGAUACGAGCCUCCUCCGCAUGGUGGGGGUUGGAAAGCUCCGGCGGUGCAGGAUGAGCCCGCGGCCUAUCAGCUUGUUGGUGAGGUAACGGCUCACCAAGGCGACGACGGGUAGCCGGCCUGAGAGGGCGACCGGCCACACUGGGACUGAGACACGGCCCAGACUCCUACGGGAGGCAGCAGUGGGGAAUAUUGCACAAUGGGCGAAAGCCUGAUGCAGCGACGCCGCGUGAGGGAUGAAGGCCUUCGGGUUGUAAACCUCUUUCAGCAGGGAAGAAGCGAAAGUGACGGUACCUGCAGAAGAAGCGCCGGCUAACUACGUGCCAGCAGCCGCGGUAAUUC
RNAcentral lists this ribosomal RNA (449 nucleotides) under Streptomyces sp. EYN-7-2. Its description in RNAcentral is "bacterial SSU rRNA". It matches the Rfam family "Bacterial small subunit ribosomal RNA", at positions 60 to 526 of the family's 1533-position model. Lineage: Bacteria; Bacillati; Actinomycetota; Actinomycetes; Kitasatosporales; Streptomycetaceae. The record is from RNAcentral.